Molecule: ribosomal RNA, 488 nt
Filed under: uncultured bacterium
Lineage: Bacteria
Description: bacterial SSU rRNA
Rfam family: Bacterial small subunit ribosomal RNA
Source: RNAcentral
AGAGUUUGAUCCUGGCUCAGAAUGAACGCUGGCGGCGUGCCUAACACAUGCAAGUCGAGCGAGAAAGUGGCUUCGGCCAUGAGUACAGCGGCGAACGGGUGAGUAACACGUGGAUAACCUGCCUGGAAGUGGGGGAUAACUCGGGGAAACCUGAGCUAAUACCGCAUAAGCCUUCCGGAUCUUGGUCCGGAUUGGAAAGGUUGCCUCUUCUUCGAAAGCUAUCGCUUCCAGAGGGGUCCGCGCCUGAUUAGCUAGUUGGUGAGGUAAUGGCUCACCAAGGCGACGAUCAGUAGCCGGCCUGAGAGGGUGAUCGGCCACACUGGAACUGAGACACGGUCCAGACUCCUACGGGAGGCAGCAGUGGGGAAUAUUGCGCAAUGGGGGAAACCCUGACGCAGCAACGCCGCGUGGAGGAUGAAGGCCUUCGGGUCGUAAACUCCUGUCAGGUGGGAAGAAUAGGUUGCAGCUAACAACUGCAACUGUUGACG